Molecule: ribosomal RNA, 530 nt
Filed under: uncultured Alternaria
Lineage: Eukaryota; Fungi; Ascomycota; Dothideomycetes; Pleosporales; Pleosporaceae
Description: eukaryotic LSU rRNA
Rfam family: 5.8S ribosomal RNA (bases 196-349)
Source: RNAcentral
CCGUAGGGUGAACCUGCGGAGGGAUCAUUACACAAAUAUGAAGGCGGGCUGGAACCUCUCGGGGUUACAGCCUUGAUGAAUUAUUCACCCUUGUUUUUUGUGUACUUCUUGUUUCCUUGGUGGGUUCGCCCACCACUAGGACAAACAUAAACCUUUUGUAAUUGCAAUCAGCGUCAGUAACAAAUUAAUAAUUACAACUUUCAACAACGGAUAUAUUGGUUCUGGCAUCGAUGAAGAACGCAGAGAAAUGAGAUAAGUAGUGUGAAUUGCAGAAUUCAGUGAAUCAUCGAAUUUUUGAACGCACAGUGCGCCCAUUGGUAUUCCAAAGGGCAUGCGGGUUCGAGCGUCAUUAGUACCCUCUAGCCUUGCUAGGUGUUGGGCGUCUUGUCUCUAGCUUUCCGGAGACUCGCCUUAAAGUAAUUGGCAGCUGGCCUACUGGUUUAGGAGCGCAGCACAAGUCGCACUCUGGAUCAGCAAAGGUUUAGCAUCCAAUAAGCCUCAUUCUACGGUGACCUCGGAUCAGGUAGAUC